AAUGCACAUUUAUCAUCUAACUAUUUAAGUGUGUCAUCACUAGGGACUCAGCCUAGCUAGGUCCUCUGGGUAGGAUUAUGAGGCUGUGAGCAAGGGAUAAUCUAGACUUGGUUCUCAGGUAAAGACUUGGUUCCGCUGGGGAAGAAAUCUACUUCCAAGUCUCUAUGUCCUUUCUAUGUAGCUCUGAAACCACAGCCUGUUAUAGGUGGCCACCCUCAGUCGCUAAAUGCCUCACACAAUUCCACAGGUGUCUUUAGCAUCUAUAGGUCUUGAUAAAAAGAUAAAAGGCUAGCCUCUAGGGUGAGUCUUCUGCAAAGAGUAUCUUAGAUGUGCCAGAACCCCAAUAGCAGUGUCCUGCCUUUGCCCUGUGUUUUUGAUGAAAAACAAGUAAUGAGUUCUGCCUAUGCUCAAGGGGAGAAGAUUACAUAAAAGCAAGAUCAACAGGCAGAGAUUAGGAGAGCUGCCCCCGAGAGCCUUAGAAUCUACCUGCCACCAUUGUUGAUCUGUGUCAUUAUCUAUGUUACUUCUUGCUUUUGCUAUGCACCGCACCCUUCUAGUACUUCUAAAUAAUAGGCAAUAGCAGCAGCUGCUGACCCUGCCCAUCAUCACAUAAACCUCCCCUCAAUAAACAAAAGGACACUGCUCUCUCCUAACGGAAGAUCCAAGUCUCUAUCAGUUACCAGAAUCCAUCCACGGCUGAUGUUUGCUCCUCUUUAAUCAUUCUCGAUCUGAUCUUGACAUCCUGCACUGUGUAAACUAAAUGAUACGUUAAUUAAUAUCACCUGCUAUAAAACAGAAAGAAGAGAGACUAUUGUAGAAAAUUGAUAUUAUAUAUGAAUAUAUAAUACUUAAGAAGGAUGGAGAAACUGUUUAUCUCCUGCAGUCCUCAUUUAUACAACAGGUCAGGGCUAUCAUUGUGUUGGGGAGGGUUUGGUCUGAUAAUAUCAUAAACUUUUUAUGGUAUGUACAUCUGUGGAUAUUAACAUGUAUAUACUUGUAUCACAACAAGAAUACAGAAUAGUUUCUUUGCCCUAAAAACAAAGUCCCUCAUGUCACAUUUAUGUAUUCUUUCACAUACCUCACCAGCCACUGAUCAGUUAUGUACCUUAUAAAACAGCAGGUGACUGAUUUCCCAGCAUCCUUACCCCUUAUAGCCAUGUAACUAAGGAAUGGUUCAUCAGACAUGUGUUCCUAGAAUUUCUGAAUGAUAGGCAAGGCAUAGGAAAGGCAGGGAAUGCAGUGCAUUCUGGCAAUAGUGGUCUCUGGUUCUGGAGUAGGGGUUAAAGGGAUUUUGAAUGCCCACAAUUUAUCCACCACCACCACCAUUUUUAAUUUGAUUGUAUUAGUAUUUCAGUACUUUCCAGUUUGGUUUUUAUCAGCUAUAUUCUGUUUGAGGGCUUGAAGUAGAAAUCUGGGUGACACUGAUACCCUAUGCCAUGGUAUCUCUGAAGGCAAGGCAAAUUAUACCAGCAACUUCAUUACUAGACAUCCACUCAGGCAUCAGGAAAAGCACAUUGCCUUUCUUCUUAAGCCCACAUUGUGCUACAGUUUCUAUUUCUGUCAUCAAAACUACAUUUUUGCAACCAUCCCAUCCAUCAAUAGACACCCCAAUUCCACCCAUCUCCCUUUGCAGGUAUCAUCUUUUCGAGAUUAGUUUUAAACUUGUCUUCAUUUUUAUUUUUUAAUUAUGUGUAUGUGUGAGGUGAGCACAUACAUAUGAAUAUAGGUAACCUUGGAGUCCAGAAUGCAUCAGAACUCCCGAGACUGGAGUCAUGGGCCAUUUGUGAGCCACUAGAUAUAAGCUGGGAGACCAAUUCAAUUCCGGUACAAGAGCAACAAAAUGUUAAUUGCUGAACCAUCUCUCUGAUUUCUGCUUUGAAGAUAUGUUUUUAAAGAGGUAGUUUUAUUUUAUGUGCAUGAGUGUUUGCCUAUGUAUGUGCAUCACAUUCAUUUUUUUUGUGCCCAUUGAAGCCAGAGGGGGGCGGGGAUCCCCUGGAUCUGGAGUUAGAGAUGGUUGUGAGCCACCAUGUGGGUGCUGGGAACUGAAUUUGGGUGCUCUGGAAGAGUAGCAAGUGCUCUUAACUACUGAGCCAUGCCCCCCUCCUCAUGCUUUUAAGAUCUUGAUCUUUCCAGUGAUCUGCAGUUUCUUAUGGUUCAUCUGGCUAUUAAAUGUAUUCAUUUUAUUUUGUGUAUGGGUUUUUUUUUCAUACGUGUAUAUUUAUAACUGGUGCUCACAGAGGCCAGAGGGUGGCACCAGACCCUCCCUAGAAUUGGAGUUACACAUGGUUAUGAGCUGUCAUGUGGGUGCUAGAAACUGAACCUGGGUCUACUGGAAGUACCCAGCACUCUUUAUCCACUAGCCAUGGCACAGACCCUCUGGGUCCCUUUGUCUUCGUGGAACGGGUCUCUGGUCACAGGUGGGCAAAGAGUUGGCGAAUGACAGACAGACCAACACGGGAGAUUGUGUAAAAUCUGAAUGUAAUUUGUCAAAUUGAGCAUCAAACUUUUUAUACAGAAGAAAAUAGGGAAGUUAGGUGACACAUCGGCAAGAUACAAAUGAGGUUACCGGAUGCUGGAUGCUUAAUGACUCUUACACAAAACAGAGGAAUGUAAGCACAAAGACUGGCAGGAACUGGGCAAUAAAACAACUGAGACAAAGUCAGCCCUAUCUAAGGUCAGCUAUAGUCUUAGAAGCCAGGUGUGAGGUCUUUAUACUCCUAGGGCAAGGGCUUUCACACCCAAGUCAUGGUUCUAACUAGGGAGUUCCGUUCUAGCUAACCAUCUCAUGAAUAAUGCAAUACUCUAAAACCACAGCCCGAUCUACUUCCUAAACCAUUGUAAAUUCCUGUAUAUGGGAGCGACUUGGCUUUUAUUCUAAGUGAUAGUGUAAUACCAGAGGCAAUUCUGAAUGUCACUGAAUAGGCAACAUUGAAUUCCAAGCCCAUGGUCAGCUCAAGGACUUUCUAGGACGUUGGAACACUGGCGAAGGCUUAGCUAUGUCAGAAUUCAAUCUUAAAAGGCACUUAUAAUAAAAUAAUACUAAAAGAGAGCACGUGGAUCCAUACACCAGACUAACGCAGGAAUAGGGUAUGAGUAUAUGGGUUAAUGAGAACUCCAAAACUCCAGGAGGUGAGUUUCUGUGAAACUCUUUGCCUCGUGAGCACUUCCAGGCCUCUCAGCCUGUCAAGCAGACUUCAUCGGAUUAUGCGUGGCAUCCCCCCCCCUUUUUUUUUUCAGCCGAAGUUCUAGAAUGUCCCGUCUUGUCGUAGCUACAGUUCUCAAGAGUGCUCUAAAGAUGAGUGGAAAUACAAUGAUUACUAAUAAAACAAUGCCAAUAAUAAUAGCAAGUAGGAUUAUAUAUUGAACCCAAUCCAUGGGGUUUCAAUGCACUUAGGUUAUUUUUUAAAUCUCUAGCCAAUUCAUCAAUGUUCCAAGUGUCUAAAUGACUUUUGCCAAUAUUUGAAAUUUCGCCUUUCUAGCCUUAAUGUAUGUUAUAUCCUGUUCUAUUACUAAGACUACUACUUCUAAGACAUCUUUUGCCUCCAUUUUUUUAUAAUAUGUUGCUCUGAUAAAGCUAUGGAAAUAUUCCUAUGUUUAUCGUUAACAAAAUGAGCAGUAUGCAGCUGCUGAUCUAAAGCUGUGGUAGAUACCUUUUCAAAGUUUGCAUUCCCAGAUUUUUAAAUCAAGGAUCCUUUCCUAACUCUAAUAGACAGCAAAACAUAAGCAGGUCUUUUUAACAAAAUCAUAACAGCAGAUUGCUUAUAUAAAUUAGGAUGUACACAAUUAAUUAAUUGACAAGAAUUACAAUGAAUAUGAAAAGACUUGCCAAGAUUGGUGAUCUUAACUCUUAAAAUUAUCUAACAAUAUAGCAUACAGGUAAGGUACACAAGCUUUUACAGCUAUCGGGGAGUUGGCCUGAAUGGCCAAAAACAGUGUCUCUGAUGAAAUCUUGUCCAAUACUCUGUAGCAGUCCCUCUGCCUCACGAGUCAGCUGUUUUAAGUUGUCCCCAAGUUGACAGCAAGUUGGCUCUCCUUGCUGUAGCCCAUAGCGGAGAUAGGAAGAGUUUCUUUAUUUUGCUUGUGUCUGCUCUCUCCAAUUUCUCCUUCUCUGUGUGCUCAAUACAGCUUUCUUGUCACCACUGUCAGGGCACUAUCAGUUCCUACUCACAGGUCAGCCUGUCACAUUGGAAGCUAGUGUGCUCUUGCAGCAUUCUGUGGAAAAAACAGAAACAUUGCCCCCUUUCCCCCAUAUUAGGUAUCUGAACAGGAUCUUGCCAUGUGCCAAUAAGUAGAUCCCUUCAUCUCAUGAGUAUGCCUGGUUUUAGGGUGCCAUAGAUACUCAGAGAGAUUUUUGGCAUCCAAAUUUAGAUUUUUUUUGAAGAUAUAGAUUUAAAGUUCCACAGUACCGUUUCCUUGAGAAUUAUAGAAAUCUCAGUAACAUGGGUAACAUUAAAUUGUAGACAAAACAUCUCAAAUGCUUGGCUGUAAUAGCCAGUUUUAAUUUGAUUCGGAACACCAAGCC
This 4522-nucleotide long non-coding RNA is filed under the name Mus musculus (house mouse). Its description in RNAcentral is "long non-coding RNA chrX:139754835-139759357". Lineage: Eukaryota; Metazoa; Chordata; Mammalia; Rodentia; Muridae. The record is from RNAcentral.